GCUAGUCGAGUGACUCAGCCAUACGAGUCACGGCACACAGCUCAGUAACACGUGGCUAACCUGCCCUUGGGACAGAAACAACCCCGGGAAACUGGGGCUAAUUUCCGAUAGGCAAAGAACUCUGGAAUGAGUCUUUACCUAAAAGAGAUUGCGUUAUGCUCGUAAUUUCGCCCAAGGAUGGGGCCGCGACCGAUCAGGUUGUUGGUGAGGUAAUGGCUCACCAAGCCUUUUACCGGUGCGGGCCGUGGGAGCGGGAGCCCGGAGAUGGGCACUGAGACAAGGGCCCAGGCCCUACGGGGCGCAGCAGUCGCGAAAACUUUGCAAUAAGCGAAAGCUUGACAGGGCUAUCCCGAGUGCCAUCCGCUGAGGAAGGCUUUUACCCAGUCUAGAACGCUGGGGGAAUAAGGAGAGGGCAAGUCUGGUGUCAGCCGCCGCGGUAAUACCAGCUCUCCGAGUGGUGUGGAUGUUUAUUGGGCCUAAAGCAUCCGUAGCUGGCUAAGUUAGUCCCCUGUUAAAUCCACCGAAUUAAUCGUUGGAUUGCGGGGGAUACUGCUUGGCUAGGGGACGAGAGAGGCAGACGGUAUUUUCGGGGUAGGGGUGAAAUCCUAUAAUCCCGGGAGGACCACCAGUGGCGAAGGCUGUCUGCUAGAACGCGCCCGACGGUGAGGGAUGAAAGCUGGGGGAGCGAACCGGAUUAGAUACCCGGGUAGUCCCAGCUGUAAACGAUGCAGACUAGGUGUUUGGACGGCCACGUGCCGUUCUAGUGCCGCAGGGAAGCUGUUAAGUCUGCCGCCUGGGGAGUACGAUCGCAAGAUUGAAACUUAAAGGAAUUGGCGGGGGAGCACCACAAGGGGUGAAGCUUGCGGUUUAAUUGGAGUCAACGCCGGG
RNAcentral lists this ribosomal RNA (888 nucleotides) under uncultured archaeon. RNAcentral describes it as "bacterial SSU rRNA". It matches the Rfam family "Archaeal small subunit ribosomal RNA", at positions 53 to 922 of the family's 1478-position model. The record is from RNAcentral.